AUAACUGAGAUUUUGAUUUAUUGAUUAAACCCUUUUGUUUGAUGAUGUUCUUGUGUGUAAUAUAAUUAUAAGUGUACCCGUCAAAUUUCAGGAGAAAACGAGUUAAAACGGAGAAGUUACGCGACCCGGAAGUCUGACUUAAGUGAAUAGUAACUCNGUGGUAGCUUCUAUAAAAGAUAAAAGUUUUCGCGUACGAAACAGUUUUCAAAAGAUUUUUCGUGGACUUCUGUUUAAACAUCAAAUGUAAAUUUACGGUGUGAAUGGUGAAUGUAUGAAUGUAUAGCUAUCUGUAUAUUCAUUUGAUUGUGGUUGUAUACUGUUUGUACUUUUGUACUUGUGUGACGCCGUGCAAGUACAGGGGAGACUCUGUCCGUGUGAACAGUGGAUUCCCUGUAUUUGUGGCGGAUCUGGCAUACUCUGGGGUCAGGUUUUCAAAAAAAAAAAUUCAAACGCUUUUCCGCUGUGUUUCAAACAAA
Molecule: long non-coding RNA, 476 nt
Filed under: Ananas comosus (pineapple)
Lineage: Eukaryota; Viridiplantae; Streptophyta; Magnoliopsida; Poales; Bromeliaceae
Description: long non-coding RNA (ACOM_LNC003856)
Source: RNAcentral